AACCCUAAUCCCCAAGACCCAAAAGCGGCACUUACUAUUCACCAUUAGAUCUAUGUCCAAACUCAUGCGAGUGAGCUCAAACUCACCUCACGCAUACCCCAUCUCACCACGUCACCGAAUAUUAUCACGGCCUCUGACAAUUGGAAGAUUCCUUCUAGAUUUUUUGUACGUUUUCUUUAGCCUCUCGAUCGAUUUGCUGGAUAAAUGGGGGUCGUGGAUGGAUGAAAAUCAAUCUUUGCCCUCCAUUUGUCCCAAAAAUCAUUCAUAGAAAGGGUUGAAAAGGGAUUUCGGAUGGGAUCUUGGGAGAAGCUUCGAGAUCUUUUUUGAGGUUUAUAUAUAAGGUGAGUUUUCUUUGUAAAAGAGGAGGAAAAAAAUUUCGGGUAAAAAACAUUUUCUAUAGUUCUUGAGUUCCUUUUUGUGAGAUUUCUUCAAGUUUUUUUUCGGCCUUCUUCAGAUAAGACACCAAAAAGCAAAAAUGGUCUGAGUUCGGUUUUCAUUCGAGUUUACCUCAUGUCAAGAGAAAAUCAACAAAAAAAAUGACUAGAAUAGAUUUUUUCAGCAUUUAUUCUUUCUCUUGAUUUCUGGUUCUCAAAAGGAAGCUUGAUUAAAGUUUAAGUUGGAUUUAAGUUUGGCUUUCGAAUUCCAGAGUUGAUUUUGUUUGAGUUCCUAUGAUGAUUUCGUUGUUGUUGUAUUAUCGUCGAAUUUUCAUCUUGGUGAAUCUGUCGCAGAAAUUUUCUUUACAUAUUAAAGGAGAAGCAUUAACAGGUUUAUUUCUGGAUUCUUAGUCAUUUUAUUUGGUGUGAUUAAAGUACAAUGAAGCCAUGGGAAAUUCAUCUCUAGACUAAUACUUAUAUUCUGGUCAUUUGAUGUGUGUUUGUUGUUCGAAAUGUUUAAAAUGUGAAUAGCUGGAAAAUGAAGCUUUCAGAUUACACCUUAGUUUCCGGUUUGGAUCGACUCGUCUCUAGCUCAUUAAUUCCUUGAUCUGUUCACCUUCGCUAGUAUUUGCUUGACGUUUGCAUCAAGUUGCUUCCUUGUUUCAUGUAGAAAUGCACUCUGGUCUUCAUGUUGUAAAAAGUAUGCAUCUGUUGUACUCAUGAAGCAGUUACUUUGAGCAUUUUGGCUGUUUUCUUGAGGUUGUACUUGAAAUAUGUUACUUAAAUCCUAAAACUAAGUCUUGGUAAUUCUUCUUGCGUUCUUAGGAUAGUAAUAGUGUCUGGGUUGAAUCUUAGUGAUCCAUGUAGUAUCAUGUUAUGUUUGAUUUUAAUACUCUGCGCAAAGCUGCAUUGGUUCGUGUUGUAUUGAGUUAGACCCAUGUUAGUUUGUCUUGGUUUCUUCAUGUUAAAUAGUACGAGCAGUAGGAUUCUCUGUUGCCUACAAGAAUUUGUGAAUUUGGUAUGCUGCUCGACGAUUCAUUCUUAUUGGAUCAUGGUCUAAAGUGGUGUUGAAGAUAAAUUAUUUUGCUGAUUGUAUAUAUUCAGAUUUGCUCUAUUUUCUUGCUCUUGUUCGAAAAUUUGUCUGCCUUGUUUCUGCUAUAAGAAUUCUGCUCUUUCGAGCUACUGAAGAAGUCGAUUUAAGCAGUAAUUUGAGCCGAUAAUGUGCAGUAUUUUGGACAUUUGUCCAGACUGUUAUCCCUGCUGAAAAUCUGCCCUGUUUUGCACUGUUUAAGCAGCAGAUUCGCACAGUCUUUUAGUGCAAAUUUUGCACUCUUGGCUCUCAUUGGUUUGGUUGCUGGAUAGUUUAAUAUCUAAUUUAGCUAUGACUGUUAGAUGUGUCAGUUAAGUUUUUCUUCAACCAUUUGCUGAAAAGCUUUGAGAUGUUUAUUCUCACACUCUUGUAUGUUCCUCACCCCAACAGAUUUGCUAGUCAACGGACAAUUUGACUUAAGUAAACCUUGACGAUCAGUGAUCUUUCUCAUCAUCAUGCAAGGUUUAAUUUUUCAGUAGAAGCACUCUUUGUGUGUGAUGUUAUCUUUAUAUACUAUUAACAGUAACCUAUUUUUGAACUUUCCAGCGUGCUAGUUGACUUCUUUUAAUUGGAGUAGGCAUACAUCUGUCAUUUUGAUUCCAUGGAAUUGUGGUCUUAUUUGGG
Molecule: long non-coding RNA, 2088 nt
Filed under: Nicotiana tabacum (common tobacco)
Lineage: Eukaryota; Viridiplantae; Streptophyta; Magnoliopsida; Solanales; Solanaceae
Description: long non-coding RNA (NTAB_LNC000501)
Source: RNAcentral